CGCUCGCCGCCGGCCCGCAGUUCCGGCGCGCCGUGCGGGCCGCCCUCUCGCCGCGCCCCAGGCUCGCCCCGGGCCCGGAUAACCACGUCCUGCUGGUGAAUAUGAAUGAAGAAGAAGACAACACUUAGCAUUUAUAGCCUUGGGCCAUGUAUGCUGUCAAAAGGAAAUUGGGAAUGUAUGCUAUCAAAAGGAAAUGUCUCUAGAGAAAGAAAUUUAUCUUUAAACCAGCCAUUAGAUAAGAUGAUCCAUAUAAAAGAAGUUGGCCAGUUAAGAACGUUUAACAAAUAAACAGUAAUUGGGUCUAGAGUGUUUUUCACUUAUGCACCAGUUAGGUUUCUUUUCUAAUCACUUCAUAUUCAGCUUCUUGAGAACAGGGAACCAUUCCCAAAGUAACUAUGAAAACUUUUUUCAGUAUAGUGGCUGUAGCAUAACUAUAGUAAUUUUACAUUCACAGGAGUACACAUACUUUGAACGAGAUAUUAAUAUCUGAAGAGCUCCAAGUUUUUUAUUCAUUUGGUUGUCGUUUUUUGUUUAAUUUUGAUUAUAUCAAAGUUUUUUAUAUUCAAGUAGAACCACCAUAUCAGUUUCCAUAAGGUUUUUCUGUAGAUGCACUUACUAUAAGCAACAUAAAAGUAUAAACGUUCUCAGUGAACUGUAUAGGAAAGACUAAAGUUGAAAAUGGUUGUAUAAAUAGUGCAAGAAAAGUGAUGUAGUCCAAUAUCAUAAGUUCAAUAGUAAACUUUAUGAACAAAGACAUUUACUUCCAAUGGAGUGCUCUUAAAUUGUUAAACUUACAUUAUAAUACUCCCCUGUUAGUGAGUUUUUUGUUAUUAAAACAUAUGGAUAUCUGUCUAAAGCUGUUUAACUCAAGGUGAGAUGUCUAUUUUAAUAAUUUUAUUUCUGAGGUUAAUACAUAUUAUGCAUUACUUUUUUCAUGUCUUUUGUGUUUUACAUGCAUUAUAACAAUAGUUCAAAUUUUUUGUAUAUAGAGUUUCCUCCAGUUACCUUCUGAAUAAAUCCUUCACAACAUUACUCUAAAACAGCAGGAGACUGUUUUAACUGCCCUUGUAUUGGUUUUAUGAAGUUCCUAUACAUGAAAUGUAAUAGUGUUAUCUGAAAGUAUUUAUAAAAUUUCUGUUAGGAAUCUUUAAACCUAGUAAAUUAAAUUAUUUCAGAACAUAUGUCAUAUAUUAUUUUGUUGUUUUUGUAGUUAAUGGUUGUAAUGGUUGGUUAAAUAUUUUUUCUGUUUGAUGUCGAGAAAUUUAGAAUACUCUUGUAGCAUUUGUAUACAGUUCUUUUCUUUUCUAUACAAGGUAGAUAUUAGUGCACUGAGAAUGAAGACUGUUGUUCCACUAUGUCAGGACACAAUAUUCUGCAAAUGAAUUUGAUUGACCAUAACUUGAAGAAAUAAAAAUUUACAGUACUUGCCACACCAAUGAUGUUAUGUCAGCAUGCUAAGUGCACAAUUAUGUGUCAACUGUUAUUAUCUGGAGUUCAUGGAGAAGGUGUAAAAUCAAGAAAUUAUGUGCAAUAGUUCAAAGAAAAAUAGAAUGUCAAUGGUCAUUACUACUAUUAUGGAGACCUAAUUAACUAACUAACUCCUUCCUAAGAUAUUUAUCAUAUCUGAUACAGUUCCUUUUAGUAACUACGUUAUCUUUUCGUAUUAAAUGAACUUUGAUAAGCUAUCCUCUACCAUCCAACCACACAAUGUUUAUAAAAUUGUACAACACUCUAUUUCUGCCUUAAUGUUUAUUUUUGAGGGUAAUAAUUUCCUUUGCUUUGUAUGUGUCAAUGUAAAAGCUCUUUAUUGUUUGUAUCUAUCAAAUAUUUUUCAAUAUAACUUUUUAAUUUAUUAGAUCACUUAGACAUGUAACAUCAAAAACACUUAUUCAGCAACCUUCCCAUUUGUAUGCUUUGUGCUGACUUAUGUCUCAAAAGAGUUAGCUCCUAAGUACAAUAAAUUAAAGAAAGAAUGGAAAGUAGAUUUUCUGUUUCAAGUAGUGGCCAGUGAAUAAUACCGUGUUCUUAUUUACAGAUGCUUUUGUGCUAUUUGUUAAUUUUUAUGGAAAUUCGAACUAAUAAAAGAAAGUAGAAAGUGGUACACCCCAA
Schistocerca nitens (vagrant locust) is the source of this 2109-nucleotide long non-coding RNA. RefSeq lists it as uncharacterized. NCBI's taxonomy places the organism in Eukaryota, Metazoa, Arthropoda, Insecta, Orthoptera, Acrididae. The record is from RefSeq and is a predicted model, not a curated record. The transcript has 2 exons.